RNAcentral lists this ribosomal RNA (764 nucleotides) under Pediococcus pentosaceus. RNAcentral describes it as "bacterial SSU rRNA". It matches the Rfam family "Bacterial small subunit ribosomal RNA", at positions 47 to 786 of the family's 1533-position model. The record is from RNAcentral. Lineage: Bacteria; Bacillati; Bacillota; Bacilli; Lactobacillales; Lactobacillaceae.
CGAACUUCCGUUAAUUGAUUAUGACGUACUUGUACUGAUUGAGAUUUUAACACGAAGUGAGUGGCGAACGGGUGAGUAACACGUGGGUAACCUGCCCAGAAGUAGGGGAUAACACCUGGAAACAGAUGCUAAUACCGUAUAACAGAGAAAACCGCAUGGUUUUCUUUUAAAAGAUGGCUCUGCUAUCACUUCUGGAUGGACCCGCGGCGUAUUAGCUAGUUGGUGAGGUAAAGGCUCACCAAGGCAGUGAUACGUAGCCGACCUGAGAGGGUAAUCGGCCACAUUGGGACUGAGACACGGCCCAGACUCCUACGGGAGGCAGCAGUAGGGAAUCUUCCACAAUGGACGCAAGUCUGAUGGAGCAACGCCGCGUGAGUGAAGAAGGGUUUCGGCUCGUAAAGCUCUGUUGUUAAAGAAGAACGUGGGUAAGAGUAACUGUUUACCCAGUGACGGUAUUUAACCAGAAAGCCACGGCUAACUACGUGCCAGCAGCCGCGGUAAUACGUAGGUGGCAAGCGUUAUCCGGAUUUAUUGGGCGUAAAGCGAGCGCAGGCGGUCUUUUAAGUCUAAUGUGAAAGCCUUCGGCUCAACCGAAGAAGUGCAUUGGAAACUGGGAGACUUGAGUGCAGAAGAGGACAGUGGAACUCCAUGUGUAGCGGUGAAAUGCGUAGAUAUAUGGAAGAACACCAGUGGCGAAGGCGGCUGUCUGGUCUGCAACUGACGCUGAGGCUCGAAAGCAUGGGUAGCGAACAGGAUUAGAUACC